CCCACCGGCUUUNNNUNNGNNGUUCNUCNGUAAGGUNGANCNUNNAGGNNGGGUUCGGAUCAUNAAAGAACGCCGGGUUUUUUGGAAUGGGNUUCUAUCCCCCACCCNGUGUAUACAUACCUUUGUUGCUUUGGCAGGCCGCCUUCGGGCGUCGGCUCACGCUGACCGCGCCUGUCAGAGGACCCAAAUUCGUUUAUUUAGUGNUGUCUGAGUACUAUAUAAUAGUUAAAACUUCCAACAACGGAUCUCUUGGUUCUGGCAUCGAUGAAGAACGCAGCGAAAUGCGAUAAGUAAUGUGNAUUGCAGAAUUCAGUGAAUCAUCGAAUCUUUGAACGCACAUUGCGCCCCUUGGUAUUCCGAGGGGCAUGCCUGUUCGAGCGUCAUUAUGACCACUCAAGCCNAGCUUGGUAUUGGGGUUCGCGGUCUCGCGGCCCUUAAAAUCAGUGGCGGUGCCAUCUGGCUCUAAGCGUAGUAAUUUAUCUCGCUAUUGGGUCCGGUGGGUGCUUGCCAACAACCCCCAACUUCUAAGGUUGACCUCGGAUCAUNAGG
Molecule: ribosomal RNA, 549 nt
Filed under: cf. Hymenoscyphus sp. GU23
Lineage: Eukaryota; Fungi; Ascomycota; Leotiomycetes; Helotiales; Helotiaceae
Description: eukaryotic LSU rRNA
Rfam family: 5.8S ribosomal RNA (bases 230-383)
Source: RNAcentral